UAAGGAAUAUUGGUCAAUGGACGAAAGUCUGAACCAGCCAUGCCGCGUGGAGGAUGAAGGUCCUCUGGAUUGUAAACUUCUUUUAUAUGGGACGAAAAAAGGCCUUUCCAGGUCGUCUGACGGUACCAUAUGAAUAAGCACCGGCUAACUCCGUGCCAGCAGCCGCGGUAAUACGGAGGGUGCAAGCGUUAUCCGGAUUCACUGGGUUUAAAGGGUGCGUAGGUGGGUUGAUAAGUCAGUGGUGAAAUCCCCGAGCUUAACUUGGGAACUGCCAUUGAUACUAUUGAUCUUGAAUACCGUGGAGGUCAGCGGAAUAUGUCAUGUAGCGGUGAAAUGCUUAGAUAUGACAUAGAACACCAAUUGCGAAGGCAGCUGGCUACGCGAAUAUUGACACUGAUGCACGAAAGCGUGGGGAUCAAACAGGAUUAGAUACCCUGGUAGUCCACGCCCUAAACUAUGGAUACUCGACAUCAGCGAU
RNAcentral lists this ribosomal RNA (478 nucleotides) under uncultured Bacteroidota bacterium. Its description in RNAcentral is "bacterial SSU rRNA". It matches the Rfam family "Bacterial small subunit ribosomal RNA", at positions 355 to 830 of the family's 1533-position model. Lineage: Bacteria; Pseudomonadati; Bacteroidota. The record is from RNAcentral.